RNAcentral lists this long non-coding RNA (1149 nucleotides) under Homo sapiens (human). RNAcentral describes it as "long intergenic non-protein coding RNA 112". The record is from RNAcentral. Lineage: Eukaryota; Metazoa; Chordata; Mammalia; Primates; Hominidae.
AGGGCACCGCAGUGGAGCUGGAAUGUUAGAUGGGGGCCCCUGCGGUGGGCAGAAUAACGGCCACUGCAAAGAUGCCAAAUCUUAUCCCCAGAGCUUCCGCAGAGAUCCUGCAGAUGUGAUUCGAGUCUUCCAGCAACACCACCUCACUCUGCUUUGCACAAUCACUCCACCUCCCCACAUGUUGCGGAGAUUCUCCUGGCUGUGACACGGGAAACAUCCUCCACCAGGUCUUCUCUCACAGUGUGGCCUCUGCGCACAGGUUAUCCACCUGUAGACCUGGACGGGACCCUCGAGGCUCCCUACUCUGACCAUCUGGUUUUAUAGUUGAGGAACCAGAAGCCGAGGCAGGUAACUUGGUGCAGCCUAAAGGCCUCCAUCCCUCCAGUGCCCACAACUUAGGUGCCCACGACAACAACACUGGCCUACCGCAAAGACCCAGCCCAGAGGAACAAGGUGCCACUGUAUGUCUGAAAAGGGGGCCCUCGGCCUCACUGGGGAGCACCUUCCUCCAUCAGGGUCUCGACGGUGAAGAAGCAGGCUGUUUCCAUCUUCAGGAUACAAGCCAUCUGCGCAUAGGAAGAGGGUCCAGAGGCUCAUCUGGAAUCCCUCCUCACUCACUGGACGGAGGACCUGACCCCGUUCCCAUCAUUGGUUCUGAAUCCAUCAGCCCAGCAAGACAGGUGUCUCCAGCAAGUUCUGUAAAAUACAACCAUAGCCGGGCCUGGAGUCAGCCCCCAAUAAAGGGUUCACCAUGGAGUCAAAGCUUCCUUCACAUUGGGAAGAGCCUGAUGAUGCCGCCUUGGUGCCACCCGUGCAGGCCGUGUUCCACUUCUGUCAUGGGCUGGAGAGAAAAGAGCGACAUGGACCUGUUCAUGAAAGGCUCUUCCCGCAACACCAAGCCUGGGGCCUGCAGGGCCGCCAUGAAGAAAGGUGGCUCCUGCUUGGCAGAGAGAAAAGGGGAGGGAGGGCAGGUGAGUCACCAGCAUUGGGCCCCUCAGCCCAGGCUGCCAAGGCAGCCCAGUGGAACCUGUCCCCAUACAGCAUGUUUUUAGUUUGAAUGGUUUUACAGUGUUGGAGCUGUAACUUUACAAAUUUGCUUUGCCUUCAUAACUCUGUAAGAGCUAUAAGCAAACGUAGCUUUAAUCAGCA